GGCGGAGUAGCUCAGUUGGUUAGAGCGCGGGAAUCAUAAUCCUGAGGUCGGCAGUUCGAGUCUGCCCUUCGCUACCA
Molecule: transfer RNA, 77 nt
Filed under: Rhodospirillaceae bacterium
Lineage: Bacteria; Pseudomonadati; Pseudomonadota; Alphaproteobacteria; Rhodospirillales; Rhodospirillaceae
Description: tRNA-Met
Rfam family: tRNA
About the family: Transfer RNA (tRNA) molecules are approximately 80 nucleotides in length. Their secondary structure includes four short double-helical elements and three loops (D, anti-codon, and T loops). Further hydrogen bonds mediate the characteristic L-shaped molecular structure. tRNAs have two regions of fundamental functional importance: the anti-codon, which is responsible for specific mRNA codon recognition, and the 3' end, to which the tRNAs corresponding amino acid is attached (by aminoacyl-tRNA synthetases). tRNAs cope with the degeneracy of the genetic code in two manners: having more than one tRNA (with a specific anti-codon) for a particular amino acid; and 'wobble' base-pairing, i.e. permitting non-standard base-pairing at the 3rd anti-codon position.
Source: RNAcentral